UACGUAGGGUGCAAGCGUUGUCCGGAAUUAUUGGGCGUAAAGAGCUCGUAGGCGGUUUGUCGCGUCUGCUGUGAAAACCCGAGGCUCAACCUCGGGCCUGCAGUGGGUACGGGCAGACUAGAGUGCGGUAGGGGAGAUUGGAAUUCCUGGUGUAGCGGUGGAAUGCGCAGAUAUCAGGAGGAACACCGAUGGCGAAGGCAGGUCUCUGGGCCACUACUGACGCUGAGAAGCGAAAGCAUGGGGGAGCGAACAGG
Molecule: ribosomal RNA, 254 nt
Filed under: uncultured bacterium
Lineage: Bacteria
Description: partial 16S ribosomal RNA
Rfam family: Bacterial small subunit ribosomal RNA
Source: RNAcentral